Molecule: ribosomal RNA, 482 nt
Filed under: uncultured bacterium
Lineage: Bacteria
Description: partial 16S ribosomal RNA
Rfam family: Bacterial small subunit ribosomal RNA
Source: RNAcentral
AUUGAACGCUGGCGGCAUGCUUUACACAUGCAAGUCGAACGGCAGCGCGGGGCAACCUGGCGGCGAGUGGCGAACGGGUGAGUAAUACAUCGGAACGUACCCAGAAGUGGGGGAUAACGUAGCGAAAGUUACGCUAAUACCGCAUACGUUCUACGGAAGAAUGUGGGGGACCUUCGGGCCUCAUGCUUUUGGAGCGGCCGAUGUCUGAUUAGCUCGUUGGUGAGGUAAAGGCUCACCAAGGCGACGAUCAGUAGCUGGUCUGAGCAGACGACCAGCCACACCGGGACUGAGACACGGCCCAGGCUCCGUCGGGAGGGAGCAGGGGGGAAAUUUGGACAAUUGGCGCAAGCCUGAUCCAGCAAUGCCGGGGGAGUGAAGGAGGCCUUCGGGGUGUAAAGCUCUUUUGUCAGGGAAAAAACGGCUGAGGAUAAUACCUUCGGCUAAUGACGGUAACUGAAGGAUAAGGACCCGCUUACUACGGG